Molecule: ribosomal RNA, 729 nt
Filed under: uncultured eukaryote
Lineage: Eukaryota
Description: SSU rRNA
Rfam family: Eukaryotic small subunit ribosomal RNA
Source: RNAcentral
CGGGUGCACUGAUCCAGCCGGGCCUUUCCCUCUGUGGAACCCCAUGGCCUUCACUGGCUGUGGUGGGGAAACAGGACUUUUACUUUGAAAAAAUUAGAGUGCUCCAGGCAGGCCUAUGCUCGAAUACAUUAGCAUGGAAUAAUAGAAUAGGACGUGCGGUCCUAUUUUGUUGGUUUCUAGGACCGCCGUAAUGAUUAAUAGGGAUAGUCGGGGGCAUCAGUAUUCAAUUGUCAGAGGUGAAAUUCUUGGAUCUAUUGAAGACUAACUACUGCGAAAGCAUUUGCCAAGGAUGUUUUCAUUGAUAAGGAACGAAAGUUAGGGGAUCGAAGACGAUCAGAUACCGUCGUAGUCUUAACUAUAAACUAUGCCGACUAGGGAUCGGACGAUGUUAUUUCUUGACGCGUUCGGCACCUUUCGAGAAACCAAAGUGCUUGGGCUCCAGGGGGAGUAUGGUCGCAAGGCUGAAACUUAAAGAAAUUGACGGAAGGGCACCACCAGGGGUGGAACCUGCGGCUUAAUUUGACUCAACACGGGGAAACUCACCAGGUCCAGACACAGUGAGGAUUGACAGAUUGAGAGCUCUUUCUUGAUUCUGUGGGUGGUGGUGCAUGGCCGUUCUUAGUUGGUGGAGUGAUUUGUCUGCUUAAUUGCGAUAACGAACGAGACCUUAACCUGCUAAAUAGCCCGUACUGCUCUGGCAGUUCGCCGGCUUCUUAGAGGGACUAUCGG